Molecule: long non-coding RNA, 4662 nt
Organism: Equus asinus (donkey)
Lineage: Eukaryota; Metazoa; Chordata; Mammalia; Perissodactyla; Equidae
Source: Ensembl
CUUAGGCUGGAGGGGAGAGCCUGGCCACCUUGGCCUACAAUCCUCGGCAAGAAGUCAGCGGGAAAGAGACCUGAGCUCAUUUCGUUCCUGGGCCAGAGUGAGCACUAUCUGGAUUUCUCAAUUUUGGAAAGAGAAACCUGAAGCAGUCCUGAUCUAAGGGAUAUAGAGCCAUCUUCCCUGGGUCCUUGGGGAGUCUCAGAGCCCUGAGAACAAAUAGCUUAGAUAGCCAUGACUCAGCAGAGCAGCAGCUCGCCCCUCACAAUGUCAGCAGUCCAUGCGACUUGGAAAAGGACGCUGGGGCUACAUUUCUGUGGCCUCCCUCAGCUGAGAAGCCAGAGCUGACCCAGCCCUUAGCAGGCCAGAGCUCCCCAUUGGCAGAGACGUCUGAGUAGGGAGAUUCUAUUUCUGGCUUCUUGAUAAGGCUUGGGGGAGUGGGUGUUACAGAAAGGUGGAAGCAGAGAGGUGAAGGCCCACAACGACCAAAAGGCAUAGUGCAGAAGGGCCUGAUGAUGGGGGAGAAAUUUUUCAGUAAUUUCUGUAAAUGCAAUGCAUUUUUCAGAAAGUUAAGAUUUUAGCCAUUUGGUACACUUGCCACCAUCUGGCAGCUGGAAGCAGGAUCAAUUCCAAAAUCCGGCCCAUGGCACGCCACAGGAAAACUAGAACCGCUCCUGGAUGCUGGGUUCAUAGUAUCCCUUACUUUGUACCAGCACUGAACACGUGCUCUCCAUGUGCCGCUACAUUUAGUCCACACCAACCCCUCCAGAUCCGAGGUCAGGGGGAUCAGGGUCUGCGUGUGUGUUGCCAGGAGGUGCUGAGAAGUUGGGGGAGUGACGUGUAAUCUUCUCCCCUUCCCUCAGUGGGGUAGGUAUGCCCAGAAAACAAAGAAGUGACUUUCCUUCCACUGAUUGCCAUAUGGGCCACUUCCUGAACCUGAAAGAGAUGCCGUACCCCGAACACCAGGUCCUCAGCUCUAGCAAAUACAGGAGGGACAAGUUUCAGCCUCCGGCUGUCAGGGAGCAGCAAAUACAGAGCUGACAACAGAGUCGACCUCUUUGAGGCAGAAGCAUUCUGGCGUUUUGCACAGAGGAAACAGAACCAAAGUUGCCCUCGGGCCAAGGGGCUGACUCCUUGACCACUGGGACCAGCCAGCAAAGCCUACUUAGUGACCUCCAGCAAAAAGUCCACCAGUGAGCUGCGCAGGAUGAGAUCAAAGCUUUGUCUCGGCAGCCAGACCAGAGGAGAUCCUGGUUCUCACUAUGCUCAGAGUCACAUUAAACAAACAAUACCACAGUUUUCACUAAAACCCGUUGAAUUUUAAAUGUACUGUUGACUAAAUUAGGGAGUUAUCGUUCAGUUGAUCUGGUAAUCCAUUUGUCCACCAAACUUCAGAUUUACAAACAAUGGUUUUCUGGGAAAGCCUCUUGAAGCCUGGAUGGUAAAUGUUUACCUUAAAAAAGCAAAAACUGAAGAAGGCAAAAGUGGCCUGGUGAGUAAAACCAAAAGCCUGCAGCAGACGGUCACGUUGCUGGACUGACUGUUUGUUUUGAAAAAUGUUCCCAUUCCGAGCCUUGACAUUGGGGAAAUUAGGAACAUGGUAACCGACUUCCUGUCUAGUAUUUCCCUGGAUUUCCUGGAAUCCAAUUUGAAGUGUCGUUUUCCCCUGAACCACCAAGGAGUUAAACUUUGGCUCUGUUCUCCCAGUGACUAAUAGGCACCGUGUGGCUCUGAGAUCAGCGAGAAAGAAACUGACAGUCGGCGUGGGAAGUGUGCGAGAUUUCAGUGCUCUUGAAAUGCCUUUGAUGGGCAUGGUGAGCGAGCACAAGGAUUAUUGCCACCUAGAGCCCCUGAUUGUGUAAUUUGAUCUUGAAUUCUUGUUUCUCUCUUUGAAUUUUGCUUGAUUUUAAAGGAGGAUCUCGGACUCCUUUGGGGGCUUGAUAUGACUGCAGUGUGUGAGUUAUUCCACGGAGAAUGAUAUUUUAGGCAACAAACUAAUUCCACCACUUUGAAAAACAACCCACUUUGGUUGAAAACAAAGCAGAAUCAAGUGACCUGACCAAAUGGCACUUGACGUGUGUUAGGAAGACUUGUCUUCCCGCUCUUGCUGUUUUCUUUCUUGUGAGAGGAGCCCAAUUAGCAUAACACUCCUGGCUUCUCACCACCCUCCCCCACCCCCAUUCUUCCCUGGGAAGGAGGAGUGGUUUAAGAUGACUGAUGAGUUUGGAAGGAGAAACUAUGCCUCAUACCAUCUUCUCUUCCUUUCUUCUUGGGAGUCAACACUCCUCCCGCAGGGUGGAAAGGAGAGGCCCAUUCUGGCCCAGCUGCCUAUUGCUGAGUGUCCACGUAUGAUUUUGAGCCCAAGUGUCAGGAAGCUCAUUGGCCUGAGAAUGUAAGCCACAUUCUCUAAUAUCAGCCUUAUUAGUAAUAAAGGUUAUUUUCGGUCCUCAUCUAGCUUACUGCUAUCUUACUUCUGAUUCACUUCAAAACUCGCAGAAAAGGGGAGGCGACUGCUAUUUUGAGGCCUCCUCGAAGACCCCAACAUAUUUACCAGGCGGCUUCCUGGUGGUUAGAAAAAGCCUUGUGUUGGGAUGAAACCCUGGCUUCUAGAUCCACAUCACUACUUUCUUAUAGGACAACAGGUUCUUUAGUUGUCAAAUGAGUAAAGGGGAGUUUACAGAAGGUGUUCCUUCCAGCUGAAAUGUAUCCAUUCAAAACUUAUUUAUUGAAUGCCUACUAUGUGCCAGGGAGUACAACGGUGAUCAAGAGAGACAGUCUCUGCUGCCACACAGUUUAUAAUCUAACUAGGGUGCAUCAAUUAGAAAGUUUAAUGUUCCAAGUGAAAUGAAACCAUCUCAAACAGGCUGAAGCAAUAAGGAAAAUUUAUUGGCUCACUGGGGAUCCAGGCACGAUUUGAUCCAGGACUCAAACAACAGGGAUCCAUUUCUUGGCUCUGCUUCCUCUGGGUGGGAUUCAUUCUUUUGUCACCAUAUGAUGCAACCCCUCCUCUCUCCUGGCAGCUCCACACUUUCCACUAUGACUGCAGGAGAAAUGAGAUGUACCAUUUACCAGGCUGAGAAGAGUCCAAGUGCCAACAUUCCCUACAGACUCCUGAGGUCCACUCUGAUUAGACCAUUUCAGGGCACAGGCCUCCCCUAAAGCGAUGACCGAGCUCAGAGUGAUAGAUACACUGAUGGGCUCAAACCCAGUGGGGUCCAUCCCUGGAUGGAGGAAAGUUGGGCCCUCCCUAUAUGGCUCAGAAAUUUAGAAAUCUAUUAGGAAGAGAGAGGGGGCAGCAACCAGUAACUGUCCACGAUAGAAAGACAAUAAAUAAAAUGAGAAUUUUGCUUUGAGGGAACAAUUCAGCCUGUAGAAAAUGCAGGAAUCCCUUUUUCCCUGGUGAGUCUAGCACAGGCCUGGGAAUCCAGAGAAUUGGCUUCCAAAUCCUGUGCAGGGCCCCUAUACACAACAGGCCCUCAGGAAAGUUCUGGAGGUUGACAGACUUUGCUCCUUGAUCUCACCUCUCUGGAACUGCCCUUGGGUUGGAUUCUCCUGCUCUGUGAUCCCUUUUCUUUUUUUGGAAAGGAGGAUAACAUGUACCUGAGAGGGACACUAAAAGGAUAACUGAGGUGACAUCCACAAAGCAUCUGUCACUAAAUAAACCCAAGCUAUCUAUUGACCUGUGCUUGUGAUUCUUUCAGAUUUAAGGACAUUUAGCCAGUGGUUUAGGGGCUAAACAUUAACCACAUUGGGGCAGAUCAGCACCACAGGAGCUAUGAGCCGUGAAGAUACACAGGCCUUCGGUGUUCUAAGUUCAAAAGAUCUGUGUGAAACAAGGUAUAACCCAAAUUAGUUGAAAAUGGACAGCAAUACAGUCAAACAUGCCAGAUAAGGAGAGUGCUCCAGCUAAGUACCACAGCUAGUUCUCAAAAGGUAUGAGUAUUUGCCAAGCAACCCAGAAGUACCAGCGGGGCCUGAGCAAUCCUUUGCUUCUUCAUUCAACAAACAUUUAUUGGGUACCCCCUAUACAAGAAGCUACUGUAGGAACACAAUCAAUGAUGAGACUGACACAAAUCCUUUUCAGAAAAAAGAAGGAAUCUCCAUUUAUCAAUAGGUAAAUUAUUAUAAGAAACCAGAUUACUAUAUGCAAAGCUAAAAUGAACUCAAGAUCUACUAUGAUACCAGAGACAGAAGGUAAAACUAGUUUCAUUUUGUGGAGGAAGUUGGAGAAGGAGUGGGCCAUGCCUACCGAAUGAAUCUUGCAUUAAGGCAUAGACAAAUGUAUAGGGUUAAGUUGAGAGAUUGCGAUCAACUACACAGUCUUUUUUGGUCUCCCAAAUAAAUGUGACUCAGUCCUCUGAACACCCUCCAGCAGCAGUUAUUUGCACCUUUCUUACUGUUCCUAUUCUGACUCAUAUCACAGUCAAUUAUUUAUUCAUUCAAUUAUUCGGUCAAUCACUCAUUGAACAUUUAGGGCAAGCUUGAUAUGCACCAAGAACUACGUCAAAGGCCAGGAUACAAAACACAGUGAAACAUGGUCCCUAUGUUCUAGGACUUCAGUCUAGGUGGGGAAAGAGACAUAUAAAAAGUAAUUAUACUAUAAUAUGGGAGGUACUAUCGUAGAAGCAUGUACUAGGUGCUUGGAGGCGAAGGUUUCACAAAAGAGGU